GAAAUGCGAUAAGUAAUGUGAAUUGCAGAAUUCCGUGAAUCAUCGAAUCUUUGAACGCACAUUGCGCCCUCUGGUAUUCCGGGGGGCAUGCCUGUCCGAGCGUCAUUGCGAACCCCUCAAGCACGGCUUGUGUGAUGGGCCCUCCCGCGUCUUGGUCGUCAAGACGGGCCCGAAAAGCAGUGGCGGCUUCGCGGUUAUCCGAUCAGCCAGAGCGUAUGGGGACUUUCUCUCUGUCACACGCCCGCGGCGCGGACCGACGCCUGUCGACCUUUAUUCAUCUUUUUCUCGGUUGACCUCGGAUCAGGUAGGGAUGCCCGCUGAACUUAGGC
RNAcentral lists this unclassified non-coding RNA (329 nucleotides) under plant metagenome. RNAcentral's name for it is "partial contains 5.8S ribosomal RNA, internal transcribed spacer 2, and large subunit ribosomal RNA". The stretch from base 1 to 105 matches the Rfam family "5.8S ribosomal RNA", at positions 50 to 154 of the family's 154-position model. The record is from RNAcentral.